Molecule: unclassified non-coding RNA, 282 nt
Organism: Gorilla gorilla gorilla (western lowland gorilla)
Lineage: Eukaryota; Metazoa; Chordata; Mammalia; Primates; Hominidae
Rfam family: Metazoan signal recognition particle RNA
About the family: The signal recognition particle (SRP) is a universally conserved ribonucleoprotein. It is involved in the co-translational targeting of proteins to membranes.
Source: Ensembl
GCCAGGUGUGGUGGCUCACACCUGUAAUCCCAGCAGCUUAGGAGGCUGAGGCAUGAGGAUCACUUGAGCCCAGGAGUUCAAGACCAGCCUGGGCCACAUAGUGAGACCCCCAUCUCUACUGAAAAGAAAAGCUUAGCUGGGAGUACUGGUGCAUGCUUGUAAUCCCAGCUACUCAGGAGGCUGAGGCAGGAAGAUCCCUUGAGCCCAGGAGUUCAAGGCUGCAGUGAGCUAUGAUUGUGCCACUGCGCUCCUGCCUGAGUGACAGAGCUAGAACCUGCCUCU